RNAcentral lists this unclassified non-coding RNA (239 nucleotides) under uncultured fungus. RNAcentral's name for it is "partial contains 5.8S ribosomal RNA, internal transcribed spacer 2, and large subunit ribosomal RNA". The record is from RNAcentral. Lineage: Eukaryota; Fungi.
AACGCACAUUGCGCCCGCCAGCACUCUGGCGGGCAUGCCUGUCCGAGCGUCACUCAUACCCGUCAAGCCGUCGCGCUUGUGUUGGGGCACCGCGGCCGCCGCGGGCCCCCAAAUCGAGCGGCGGGGCCGCCCCCCGCGCCGAGCGCAGUAACACUGCCCGCUACGGCGCGGCGGCGGCGUCCGCCUCAGCGUUUCUGCGAGCUGACCUCGGAUCAGGUAGGAAUACCCGCUGAACUUAA